This 253-nucleotide ribosomal RNA is filed under the name uncultured bacterium. RNAcentral describes it as "partial 16S ribosomal RNA". It matches the Rfam family "Bacterial small subunit ribosomal RNA", at positions 524 to 776 of the family's 1533-position model. The record is from RNAcentral.
UACGUAGGGCGCAAGCGUUGUCCGGAUUUAUUGGGCGUAAAGAGCUCGUAGGCGGCUUGUCACGUCGUCUGUGAAAGCCCGGGGCUUAACCCCGGGUCUGCAGUCGAUACGGGCAGGCUAGAGUGUGGUAGGGGAGAUCGGAAUUCCUGGUGUAGCGGUGAAAUGCGCAGAUAUCAGGGGGAACACCGGUGGCGAAGGCGGAUCUCUGGGCCAUUACUGACGCUGAGGAGCGAAAGCGUGGGGAGCGAACAGG